GACGCCGUGGCCGAGCGGUUCAGGCGGCGGUUUGCAGAACCGUCCCACGUGGGUUCGAAUCCCACCGGCGUCU
RNAcentral lists this transfer RNA (73 nucleotides) under Actinomadura coerulea. It matches the Rfam family "tRNA". From Rfam's summary of the family: Transfer RNA (tRNA) molecules are approximately 80 nucleotides in length. Their secondary structure includes four short double-helical elements and three loops (D, anti-codon, and T loops). The record is from Rfam by way of RNAcentral. Lineage: Bacteria; Bacillati; Actinomycetota; Actinomycetes; Streptosporangiales; Thermomonosporaceae.